Oncorhynchus keta (chum salmon) is the source of this 4079-nucleotide RNA transcript. It is a transcript of the gene named NLR family CARD domain-containing protein 3-like, with no coding region annotated. The transcript has 10 exons. Lineage: Eukaryota; Metazoa; Chordata; Actinopteri; Salmoniformes; Salmonidae. The record is from RefSeq and is a predicted model, not a curated record.
GCCUCUAGCCUAGCAUCUUCCCUGAAAAUUAGUUGGCAACACUGUUUCCUGAUAUGAAAUUGAAAGUCAAUUUGGAGCCUAACGCAUCUACAAAAUGGCUGUUGAAACUGUGGCGCACAUGUCUCGGCAACAUUAGAUGUCUGAUAAACGUAUUGAAAGAAGCAGACUCUGGGCUCAGUGCUCUAAAAAGAGUCUCUCUGUGGAGAAAGAGGGGGCCCUGCGUCUAAAAUGAGUCUCUGUGGAGAAAGAGGAGGUCCCUGCCUCUAAAAUGAGCCUCCCUGGGGAACAUGACACCAAAGCUAAGAGCCCAAUCAAGCAGGAGAGAACAGACAGCUGUGUGUCCAUGAACAGUGACAGGUCUAUGGGACUACCUAUAGACUUCAGAAAGGGAUGUUUAUCUACUGAAAAAAGAAACCAACGGAAGAACGAGAUGAUGUUCAAGAGGAUUCUUAGUCCAGAACUCCCACAAGGCUUUGAGAGUCAUAAACAGAAUAAGGACGUGGUGGACGCUGAAGAUAAGAAGCAGGAGAGCAGUGCCAGAGACGCACUGUAUAAAGAUGAGAUUGCUGUGAUUUCCCAACAUUUCAAGUCUAAUCUAAAGAAGAAGUUUCAAUGUGUAUUUGAGGGAAUCGCUAAACAAGGAAACCCAACACUUCUCAAUAAGAUCUACACAGAGCCCUACAUGACAGAGGGUGGAAAAGGAGAGGUCAAUAAUGAACAUGAGCUGAGACAGAUUGAGACAACAACCAGGAAACAAGCAAGACCAGAGACUGCAAUCAAAUGUAACGACAUCUUCAAACCCUUAACUGGACAAGACAAACUUAUCAGAACUGUGCUGACAAAGGGAGUCGCUGGCAUUGGAAAAACAGUCUCUGUGCAGAAGUUCAUUCUGGACUGGGCUGAAGGAAAAGCAAAUCAGGAUGUCCAAUUUGUAUUUUCAUUCCCUUUUCGGGCGCUGAAUUUGAUGAAAGAGGAAAAACACACUUUGAUUGAACUUCUCAAUCACUUCUCAAUGGAAACCAAAGAAUCAAGAAUCUCCAACUACAACAAGUACAAAGUCCUGUUCAUCUUUGAUGGUCUGGAUGAGUGCCGACUGCCCCUAGACUUCAAAAAGAACAAGAUCUGUUGUGAUGUCACAAAGUCAACCUCAGUGGAUGUUCUGCUGACAAAUCUCAUCAAGGGAAAUCUGCUUCCCUCUGCUCUCCUCUGGAUAACUACCCGACCUGCAGCAGCCAAUAAGAUCCCUUCAGGGUGUGUUGACCAGGUGACAGAGGUACGAGGGUUCAAUGACCCACAGAAGGAAGAAUACUUCAGAAAGAGAUUCAGUGAUGAUGAGGACCUGGCCAGCAGAAUCAUCUCACACAUAAAGACAUCAAGGAGCCUCCACAUCAUGUGCCACAUUCCAGUCUUCUGUUGGAUUUCUGCAACAGUCCUUGAACAGAUGCUGAAACAUAAGAGAGAAGAGAUGCCCAAGACUCUGACUGAGAUGUACACACACCUUCUGGAGUUCCAUACCAAACAGAAGAAUGAAAAGUAUCUUGGGAAAGAAGAGACAGGUCCACACUGUAAUAAAGAGAGCAUUCUGUCACUGGGAAAACUAGCUUUUCAACAGCUUGUCAAGGGCAAUCUGAUUUUCUAUCAAGAAGACCUGAAAAGGGCUGGCAUUGAGGCCAAUGAAGCCUCAGUGUACUCAGGAUUGUGCACACAGCUCUUUAAAGAGGAAUGGGCUGUACCAGGACAAGGUGUACUGCUUCGUGCAUCUGAGCAUUCAGGAGUUUCUGGCUGCUGUAUAUGUGUUCCUCUCAUUCAUUAACAACAAUGAAAAUCUAAUGGUCAAACCGCAAUCAACAUCCAGGUACUUUUCUGCUCUGUUCGGAGACAAGCUUGAAGUUACUUCCUACAAGAGUGCUGUGGAUAAAGCCUUACAAAGUGAGACGGGAAACCUGGACCUUUUCCUCCGCUUCCUUCUGGGCCUCUCAAUGGAGUCUAAUCAGAAGCACUUACGAGGUCUACUGACAACGACAAGAAGCAGCUCACAGGGCCAUGAAAAAAACAGUCAAGUACAUCAAGGAGAAGAUCAGGGAGAAUCCCUCUCCAGAGAGGUGCAUCAAUCUGUUCCACUGUCUGAAUGAACUGAAUGACCAUUCUCUAGUGGAGGAGAUCCAAAGCUACCUGAGAUCAGGAAGUGUCUCCAGUAAUGAACUCUCACCUGCACAGUGGUCAGCGCUGGUCUUUGUGAUGCUGACUUCAGAAAAAGAGCUGGAUGUGUUUGACCUGAAGAAAUACUCCAGAUCAGAGGAAGGUCUGCUGAGGCUGCUGCCAGUGAUCAAAGCCUCCAGAGUUGCUCUGCUGUCAGGCUGUGGAGUCAAAGAGAAAGGCUGUGCUUCUCUGGUAUCAGCUCUUAUGUCAAACCCCUCACACCUGGAUCUGAGUAACAAUGACCUGAAGGAUUCAGGAGUGAAGCUGCUCUCUGCUGGACUGGGGAAUCCCCACUGUAAACUGGAGACUCUGAGGCUGUCAGGCUGUGGAGUCACAGAGGAAGGCUGUGCUUCUCUGGUCUCAGCUCUGAGGUCAAACCCCUCACACCUGAGAGAGCUGGAUCUGAGUAACAAUGACCUGAAGGAUUCAGGAGUGAAGCUCCUCUCUGCUGGACUGGGGAAUCCCCACUGUAAACUGGAGACCCUGAGGUUGUCAGGCUGUCAAGUCACAGAGGAAGGCUGUGCUUCUCUGGUCUCAGCUCUGACGUCAAACCCCUCACACCUGAGAGAGCUGGACCUGAGCUACAAUCACCCAGGAGACUCAGGAGUCAGACUGCUCUCUGCUAGACUGGAGGAUCCACAUUGCAGACUGGAGAAACUCAAUGUGAAACAUGGUGGAGAGUACACAAUGAAACCUGGGCUAAGAAAAUAUGCCUGUGAUCUCACACUGGACCCAAACACAGUAAACAGACACCUCUCUCUGUCUGAGGAGAACAGAAAGGUGACAUGGAGGAGAGAGGAGCAGCCGUAUCCUGAUCACACAGAGAGAUUUGACUGGAAACAGGUGCUGUGUAGAGAGGGUCUGACUGGGCGCUGUUACUGGGAGGCAGAGUGGAAUGGGAGAGGGGCUUACAUAGGAGUGACUUAUAAAGGAAUCAGCAGAAAAGGAAGUGGUAAUGACAGUGGGAUUGGAUGGAAUGACAAGUCCUGGAGUCUGUUUUACUCUGUCAACAGUUUUGUUGCCUGGCACAAUGAUAAUCCAACUACCAUAGACGUCCCCUCCUCCAGCUCCCACAGAGUAGGAGUGUAUCUGGACUGGCCAGCCGGCACUCUGUCCUUCUACAGAGUCUCCUCUGACUCACUGACCCACCUGUACACAUUCCACACCACAUUCACUGAGCCCCUCUAUCCAGGGUUUCAUGUUUGGUUUGAUGCCGCCUCAGUGUCCCUGUGUCAGGUGGUCCCUGUGUCAAACACAACAUGAUGUUUCACUCUAAUCCUGGUCCUGUUCAGUCAGACACACUGGAGCAACAAUGUAGAAUAUCUCUCUCGUGUGUAAACAUAUGAUUGUAAAUAUUCAUGAAUAAACACCAUUGAAGUCAUUCAUUAAUAUAAUGAAUCACCACACUGUGUUGUAAAAACUUUUCAUUUAGAAAUCACUGAUCUUGUUAUUGGGCUUCUUGGUGUUUGUAAAUGUUGUUGUCGGUAGGAUGUUUUUCUAAUUCUUUACACAACAAUCUUGCUUCUGCAUAAACUCAAUUCCACUGAAUGAAAUGUACAUGUGAAAGAUUUGACGAAUUAAGGUUAGCAGAUGAAAGAACAGCAGUUCUAAAUGUUUUGUGUUUAAUAAGACAAUAUGACAUUUAAAUAAGUAACACACUCACACACCAGUUUGAGACGUUUUUUUCCUGUAAUAAACACAAUUUUUUUACAUGUUUAGUGUUGGAGUGAUCGUUUACAUUGGACCACAUGACAACAAUAAUGUCACCUGUAGUUGUUUUAAGACGUGUAUAUAUAGACACUGAACAUUUAAAUUAUAUUAUUUAAAAUGGUCAAUACCUUUUAUGAAGGUAUGAAAAUACAUAUCAUAUGUCUUGUAAA